AGUGAAUAGAUACCCGGGUAGUCCCAGCUGUAAACGAUGCGCGUUAGGUGUAUCGGUGACCACGAGUCACCGAGGUGCCGAAAGGGAAACCGUGAAACGUGCCGCCUGGGAAGUACGGUCGCAAGGCUGAAACUUAAAGGAAUUGGCGGGGGAGCACCACAACAGGUGGAGCCUGCGGUUUAAAUCGGACUCAACGCCGGGAAGCUCACCGGAUAAGACAGCUGAAUGAUAGCCGGGUUGAAGACUCUGCUUGACUAGCUGAGAGGAGGUGCAUGGCCGUCGUCAGUUCGUACUGUGAAGCAUCCUGUUAAGUCAGGCAACGAGCGAGACCCACGCCAACAGUUGCCAGCAUGUCCUCGGGAUGGUGGGGACACUGUUGGGACCGCCUCUGCUAAAGAGGAGGAAGGAAUGGGCAACGGUAGGUCAGCAUGCCCCGAAUUAU
Molecule: ribosomal RNA, 442 nt
Filed under: uncultured bacterium
Lineage: Bacteria
Description: bacterial SSU rRNA
Rfam family: Archaeal small subunit ribosomal RNA
Source: RNAcentral